Molecule: long non-coding RNA, 225 nt
Organism: Amblyraja radiata (thorny skate)
Lineage: Eukaryota; Metazoa; Chordata; Chondrichthyes; Rajiformes; Rajidae
Exons: 3
Source: RefSeq, a predicted model, not a curated record
UGCUUUGCAUGGAAAAUAUAAUGGGCUAUCGGCAGUUAUUUGAUGAUAUUUUACUGUGAUAGCCAGUAAUUGCCUUCUUCAGCCUAGAAUAAUAAUACCAAUAAACUAAUCAAUUUGAAUUCAUUAAUCCUGACUCUAAAUCAAAUUAAUUCAGAUAUUGUACAGAUUAUUUGUAUUAAUUCACUUAUGCAAGAUUCACAAAUAAAAGACCAUCAAACACAGAGU